CCUACGGGUGGCAGCAGUGAGGAAUAUUGGUCAAUGGGCGGAAGCCUGAACCAGCCAAGUAGCGUGUAGGAUGACGGCCCUACGGGUUGUAAACUGCUUUUAUACGGGAAUAACGCGCCUUACGUGUAGGGCUUUGCAUGUACCGUAUGAAUAAGGACCGGCUAAUUCCGUGCCAUCAGCCGCGGUCAUCAGGAAGGUCCGGGCGUUAUCCGGUUUGAUUGGGUUUAAAGGGAGCGUAGGCCGCAUGUCAAGCGUGCUGUGAAAUGUCCGGGCUCAACCCGGGCCUUGCAGCGCGUACUGGCGUGCUUGAGACCGCGGAAAGCAGGCGGAAUUCGUCGUGUAGCGGUGAAAUGCUUAGAUAUGACGAAGAACCCCGAUUGCGAAGGCAGCUUGCUGCAGCGGAACUGACGCUGAUGCUCGAAAGCGCGGGUAUCGAACAGGAUUAGAUACCCCUGUAGUC
Molecule: ribosomal RNA, 460 nt
Filed under: uncultured bacterium
Lineage: Bacteria
Description: partial 16S ribosomal RNA
Rfam family: Bacterial small subunit ribosomal RNA
Source: RNAcentral